RNAcentral lists this ribosomal RNA (229 nucleotides) under uncultured bacterium. Its description in RNAcentral is "partial 16S ribosomal RNA". It matches the Rfam family "Bacterial small subunit ribosomal RNA", at positions 568 to 796 of the family's 1533-position model. The record is from RNAcentral.
CAUGUAGGCGGUUGUUUAAGUCUGAUGUGAAAGCCCUGGGCUCAACCCAGGAAGUGCAUUGGAUACUGGAUAACUUGAGUACGGGAGAGGAAAGUGGAAUUUCGAGUGUAGGGGUGAAAUCCGUAGAUAUUCGAAGGAACACCAGUGGCGAAGGCGGCUUUCUGGACCGAUACUGACGCUGAGAUGCGAAAGCGUGGGGAGCAAACAGGAUUAGAUACCCUGGUAGUCC